Phyllostomus discolor (pale spear-nosed bat) is the source of this 621-nucleotide long non-coding RNA. RefSeq lists it as uncharacterized. NCBI's taxonomy places the organism in Eukaryota, Metazoa, Chordata, Mammalia, Chiroptera, Phyllostomidae. The record is from RefSeq and is a predicted model, not a curated record. The transcript has 3 exons.
UGUCUGUGUGGGAAAUAGAAGAGCCUCCAUCAGCCUGAGGUCAGAGGAUAGACACCCUUCAAACCUGUUUGUUCACCUUCUGCUGAUACAUAUGGACUGGAAACAUAUGAAAGUGAGUCCUGCAUAGCUCACAUCUCAUGCCUAAGGAUCUUGCUGAAGAACUCCCAUCUGUGAAGACCCACUACUGCUGAUUCCAUCUUCUGCAUGCAAGGCUUACCUCUAGAGUUCUUCGCUUCUGACCCUGACAGAGCUAGCAGGACACUGAGACCUGAAAUAGAAAAAGAAGAGAAUAGUUCAGGAGGGGGGUGCCCUGGGGCUUUGUUUGGUUAAAGCCUGGGUGAGUUAGAGGCUUCAUACCCCAUUGUUCACGUUACUGUAGACUCUUCCAGGUAAAAUAUAAACACAAGGGUCACAAAGGCAUCAUAUGUUACUACAGGAUGAGAGCUACAUCUGAUUGCAACUGGAAAAGGUUCUAUACCCAAGUGUAAUGUGUGUGCAUAUGUGUGUGUGUGUGUGUGUGAGAGAGAGAGAGAGAGAGGAGGUGUUCCCACACCAACAAGCAAUUCUUGGGCAUCAGCUGGGUUUUACGAUUAACUCAAUUCUGACAUUGUCUACCCAGAG